GUCCACGCCUAACGAUGCGAACUGGACGUUGGUGCAAUUGAGCAUUCAGUGUCGAAGCUAACGCGUUAAGUUCGCCGCCUGGGAGUACGGUCGCAAGACUGAACUCAAAGGAAUUGACGGGGCCCGCACAAGCGGUGGAGUAUGUGGUUUAAUUCGAUGCAACGCGAAGAACCUUACCUGGCCUUGACAUGUCGAGAAGUCUGCAGAGAUGCGGAUGUGCCUUCGGGAACUCGAACACAGGUGCUGCAUGGCUGUCGU
RNAcentral lists this ribosomal RNA (258 nucleotides) under uncultured bacterium. RNAcentral describes it as "partial 16S ribosomal RNA". It matches the Rfam family "Bacterial small subunit ribosomal RNA", at positions 793 to 1055 of the family's 1533-position model. The record is from RNAcentral.